GAAAUUUGCCCUACAGGAGUUUGUCUUGAUUAAAGGCUUCAGUCUGUCUUUGCAACACAAACAUAGGAGCCCCCAUGCUGCUCUCUGAAAUUUACAGCGUAUUUUCUUUUUACUCAAGCAUAUUGAAGCAGAACAGAAGAAAGGAUCAAAGGUGUAACUCUUGUGAUGACUGAUGUUGUUAUGAAGGAUUUUCACUUUGAGAGCCAGAUCAUCCUUCCUUUGAAGCUGUGUGAAUCUGAUGGCUGCCAGUGGUCCUCAAUAGAAGAUCAAGAUGUGCUUUGUCCUCUUUGGGCCAUGCAACCAAAGACAUCAUAA
This 315-nucleotide long non-coding RNA is filed under the name Chrysolophus pictus (golden pheasant). RNAcentral describes it as "lncRNA (ENSCPIG00010011813.1)". The record is from RNAcentral. Lineage: Eukaryota; Metazoa; Chordata; Aves; Galliformes; Phasianidae.